This 818-nucleotide long non-coding RNA is filed under the name Homo sapiens (human). Its description in RNAcentral is "small nucleolar RNA host gene 5". Lineage: Eukaryota; Metazoa; Chordata; Mammalia; Primates; Hominidae. The record is from RNAcentral.
GCUGCGCACUUCGGUCUUUUACGUCGGCCUUCGCGAGCGUCUGGGCGGGUGGUAGGAACAAUGGCGCUGUCUUCAGUGGCACAGUGGAGCAGCUCUGAAGAUGCAAAGAUACACGAAAAAACUUCCAGAACAUCUGGGAGAAUAUUUAAUGGAAAAUCGCUUGGUUAAAACCUGACACUUUUAACAGUGAACAGCGUUCUGAGUGUGGACGAGUAGCCAGUGAAGAUAAUGAAUGUCGAAUGUGACUGACUAGCAGCUUCAUUUUGAAUGAGGGUCGCUGUCUGCCCAUUGAUAGAGGCCAGAUUGUCUUGGAAGUUCCAAAGUUGCAACGAUUUCUGGCUAGUGCCACGAGGUUUACUUGACUGUUGUGUGAAAAGCUGAUAAGAAAACCAUCCAGAAAAAAGCUCUUCGUUUUACAAACAUGAAAAUAAAACAUUUAGUUGAAUCCAUGGACAUGAAACCCACAGAUAUAGAGGGUUGGCCCGGUGCAGUGGCUCACGCCUGUAAUCCCAGCACUUUGGGAGGCCAAGGCGGGUGGAUCACCUGAGGUCAGAAGCUUGAGACCAGCCUGGCCAACAUGGGUACUGCUUUCUCUUGCUGCAGCUUGCUUCCUCCCUCAGGUAUGAAGUUAAGGUAACAUGAAGGAGGAUAUUGAAUGUUCCUAACACAAAGAAAUGAUAAAUGUUUGAGAUGGUGGAUGUACUAAUUGCCCUGAUCUGAUGACUAUACAUUAUAUAUAUUGAAACAUCAGUAUGUACCCCAUGAAUAUGUACAAUUAUAUGUCAACUUAAACACAUUUAAAAGUAAAAAAAAAAAAA